Odoribacter laneus CAG:561 is the source of this 362-nucleotide non-coding RNA. It matches the Rfam family "Bacterial RNase P class A". Rfam says of the family: Ribonuclease P (RNase P) is a ubiquitous endoribonuclease, found in archaea, bacteria and eukarya as well as chloroplasts and mitochondria. Its best characterised activity is the generation of mature 5'-ends of tRNAs by cleaving the 5'-leader elements of precursor-tRNAs. NCBI's taxonomy places the organism in Bacteria, Pseudomonadati, Bacteroidota, Bacteroidia, Bacteroidales, Odoribacteraceae. The record is from Rfam.
AUAGCAGGUCGUUCUAUCGCUGUCCUGAAAAGGAGAGAGGAAAGUCCGGGCAACACAGGGAGCCGUGCUUCUUAACGAGAAGAUGUCUGUGAAGGCAUAUCCAGCGUAACAGAAAAAAACCGUUCCGGAUUUGUGCAAGCAAGUCCGGAAUAAGGGUGAAAAGGCGGAGUAAGAGCCCACCGGUGCUCCGGGUGACCGGGGCAGCCGUACGUCUCACGGGUUGCAAGACCAUGUAUACCGAUGUUUUAAGCUUUCCCGGCUGAAUCGGGGGGUAGGUCGCUCGAUCUGCAGAGUGAUCUGCAGACUAGAUAAAUGAUAGAAACCGAAAGGAACAGAACCCGGCUUACAGACCUGCUAUUUUU